RNAcentral lists this ribosomal RNA (506 nucleotides) under uncultured bacterium. RNAcentral describes it as "bacterial SSU rRNA". It matches the Rfam family "Bacterial small subunit ribosomal RNA", at positions 26 to 518 of the family's 1533-position model. The record is from RNAcentral.
AGGACGAACGCUGGCGGCGUGCCUAACACAUGCAAGUCGAGCGGGACACACGACGGACAGGAGGUUUCGGACAGACUGGAAGAUGUAUGUUCUAGCGGCGGACGGGUGAGUAACGCGUGAGCAACCUGUCCUUCACAGGGGGAUAACACAGCGAAAGUUGUACUAAUACCGCAUAAGACCACGGCGAGACAUCUCGCAGGGGUCAAAGGAGCAAUCCGGUGAAGGGUGGGCUCGCGUCCGAUUAGAUAGUUGGUGAGGUAACGGCCCACCAAGUCGACGAUCGGUAGCCGACCUGAGAGGGUGAUCGGCCACAUUGGGACUGAGACACGGCCCAAACUCCUACGGGAGGCAGCAGUGGGGAAUAUUGGGCAAUGGGGGAAACCCUGAACCCCCAGCAACGCCGCGUGAGGGAAGAAGGUUUUCGGAUCGUAAACCUCUGUCCUAUGUGAAGAGUAAGAGACGGUAGCAUAGGAGGAAGCCCCGGCUAACUACGUGCCAGCAGCGGC